CCUACGGGUGGCAGCAGUGGGGGAUAUUGCACAAUGGGGGAAACCCUGAUGCAGCGACGCCGCGUGGGUGAAGAAGUGCCUCGGAGCGUAAAGUCCUGUUAGCAGGGAAGAAAAUGACGGUAUCUGAAGAAGAAGCACCGGCUAACUACGUGCCAGCAGCCGCGGUAAUACGUAGGGGGCAAGCGUUACUCGGAAUUACUGGGGGUAAAGGGUGCGUAGGCGGGGAUGCAAGCCAGGUGUGAAAGCCUGGGGCUUAACCACGGGACUGCACUUGAAACUGCGAUUCUGGAGUGCAGGAGGGGCAGGUGGAAUUCCUGGUGUAGCGGUAAAAUGCGUAGAGAUCAGGAGGAACACUGAUUGCGAAGGCGACCUGCUGGACUGCAACUGACGUUGAGGCCCGAAAGCGUGGGGAGCAAACAGGAUUAGAUACCCGAGUAGUC
Molecule: ribosomal RNA, 440 nt
Filed under: uncultured bacterium
Lineage: Bacteria
Description: partial 16S ribosomal RNA
Rfam family: Bacterial small subunit ribosomal RNA
Source: RNAcentral